Cyprinus carpio carpio is the source of this 904-nucleotide long non-coding RNA. The record is from Ensembl. NCBI's taxonomy places the organism in Eukaryota, Metazoa, Chordata, Actinopteri, Cypriniformes, Cyprinidae.
GUUUUUCACAGGAACCGAAUAUUACACAACACCGGUUCCCUCGAAGCUGCUGCAUGCUACUCCUCCGCACGGACAGAUCAUCACUCACAGAAGUGCAGAGCCUCAGAAGUCGGUCAUUCACUGCACUGGACACCUGGGGGUCUUGGAAAGAAAAAGGAGAACCCGUUCCUCAGAAAGAGCGUGUGCAGACUGCUGGAGCCAGUGGUGUAGAAGUCUGGUUCUCCAGAUUCCUGGCGUCAGAAAGGUGAAGGCCAUGCAGCUCCUCCAGCGAUUCCCCAGCAUCCAUCAGCUCUGUGGAGCUUCAGUGCAUGAGCUUGAGCCCAUCGUGGGACAGGCCACAACCCAACAUAUCACAGCAUUCUUCCACAACCAGUUCACAUAGGAACGCAUGUUACGGACAACAGAAGGACUUUCAACAAAAAAAACAACAACAAGUGGCACUGAAGACUCAGUUGCAUGUAGUGUUUGUUCCUUACCCAAGUCCCAUUUCAAAGUGGGAGUUGUUGUUAUGUUCCUGUUCAUGCAUUUAUUUACUUUAUCUUUUUUGAGUUGCAUGAAAACAUACUAUGGGUUGAUAUUAAUGGAAUGAUAUUAAUGUGUUUGUUGUACAGUUGGGCCUGAAACCACAUUGAUCGUUUGAGAUUUUCAUUGAAACUUUGUAGGGAAGUAAUGAGGUUUUUGGAUUUAAGAAUAAAAUGUAUACAAAAAUACAAAAUGAUGAUAAUCCUGCCCUGUGUUAUGUCACAAAUCAAAUUACCAAAUCAGUGGCAUUGACCAUGUGACCUAAUUUGCAGUAAAGUUUGGAUUUCCUUUCUGCCAAGAUGUCAAAAAUAUAAAAUUUAAUAUAAAAUUAGAAUGUGUUAAACAACAUUUUCACUUGUGAUCUCAGACUUUUAAACUGGGC